This 253-nucleotide ribosomal RNA is filed under the name uncultured bacterium. RNAcentral's name for it is "partial 16S ribosomal RNA". It matches the Rfam family "Bacterial small subunit ribosomal RNA", at positions 524 to 776 of the family's 1533-position model. The record is from RNAcentral.
GACGAACCGUGCGAACGUUAUUCGGAAUCACUGGGCUUAAAGGGCGCGUAGGCGGACUAUCAAGUCUGGGGUGAAAUCCCGCGGCUCAACCGUGGAACUGCCUCAGAUACUGACGGUCUCGAGGGAGGUAGGGGCAUGCGGAACUGUAGGUGGAGCGGUGAAAUGCGUUGAUAUCUACAGGAACUCCGGUGGCGAAAGCGGCGUGCUGGACCUCUUCUGACGCUGAGGCGCGAAAGCUAGGGGAGCAAACGGG